AAAGUGCGAUAAGCAAUGCGAAUUGCAGAAUUCCGCGAAUCAUCAGAUCCUUGAACGCAACUGGCGCUAAGAGGCUCUCCUCCUAGCAUGUCUGUUUCAGUGUCUGCAAACAUCAUAAAUUAAACUUACUGUGAUUGACAACUAGAAGCUUGACUUCUGUGGAGUCUCUCAUGAAAGAUGCGCAUGUGAGUCUUUGGACUCCUCAUCGAUUUUUGGUCACUGACUACUCGGUGAUUUCGAGAGGAUUUGUCUUCAAUUACUCGAAUACAUCGCGGUCAUAUUUAUAAUAACAUUUAUCUCUGCAUCUGAAAUCAGACAAGAACACCCGCUGAACUUAA
This 338-nucleotide unclassified non-coding RNA is filed under the name uncultured fungus. Its description in RNAcentral is "sequence contains ITS1". The stretch from base 1 to 105 matches the Rfam family "5.8S ribosomal RNA", at positions 50 to 154 of the family's 154-position model. The record is from RNAcentral. Lineage: Eukaryota; Fungi.